RNAcentral lists this transfer RNA (128 nucleotides) under Methylobacterium nodulans ORS 2060. RNAcentral's name for it is "tRNA-Und (NNN) (tRNA-Und-NNN-3-1)". Lineage: Bacteria; Pseudomonadati; Pseudomonadota; Alphaproteobacteria; Hyphomicrobiales; Methylobacteriaceae. The record is from RNAcentral.
AAGUUCCGUAGCUCAGCCGGUAGAGCACCACGACACCGUUCCUCACACCACGACCGCGCGGCCCGCACGGGCCGGACGGAGAAGGUUAUCGCAGGAUCUGGGGGGUGCGGGUGCGAGUCCCGCCGAGC